GGCAGCAGGCGCGCAAAUUACCCACUCCCGGCACGGGGAGGUAGUGACGAAAAAUAACAAUACGGGACUCUUUUGAGACCCCGUAAUUGGAAUGAGUACACUCUAAAUCCUUUAACGAGGAUCUAUUGGAGGGCAAGUCUGGUGCCAGCAGCCGCGGUAAUUCCAGCUCCAAUAGCGUAUAUUAAAGUUGUUGCGGUUAAAAAGCUCGUAGUUGGAUCUCAGUUCCAGACGGGCGGUCCGCCUAACGGUGGUUACUGCCUGGCCUGAACAGCCAGCCGGUUUCCCUAGAUGAUCUUCACCGGUUGUCUUGGGUGACCGGCACGUUUACUUUGAAAAAAUUAGAGUGCUCAAAGCAGGCGUGUAGCCUGAAUAAUGGUGCAUGGAAUAAUGGAAUAGGACUUCGUUUCUAUUUUGUUGGUUUUCGGAACACGAGGUAAUGAUUAAGAGGGACAGACGGGGGCAUUCGUAUUGCGACGCUAGAGGUGAAAUUCUUGGACCGUCGCAAGACGA
The sequence is a ribosomal RNA, 510 nucleotides long. It matches the Rfam family "Eukaryotic small subunit ribosomal RNA", at positions 424 to 938 of the family's 1831-position model.